This is a long non-coding RNA of Aplysia californica (California sea hare), 443 nucleotides long. RefSeq lists it as uncharacterized. The transcript has 4 exons. The record is from RefSeq and is a predicted model, not a curated record. Lineage: Eukaryota; Metazoa; Mollusca; Gastropoda; Aplysiida; Aplysiidae.
AUCUUUGAUUGAAGUCUCUCCUUUCACAAUCUGAUUUCACAGAGACAGAAGAAUCAUGUCUGGCAGAGAAGGUGGCAAGAAGAAGCCUCUGAAGGCCCCCAAAAAGAAGCAAGAUGAAGAAGAUGAAUCUGAUGUUGCCUUCAAGCAAAAGCAAAGGGAAGAGCAGAGAGCUAUGAAGGAGGCAGCUGCCAAGGCAGCAGGCAAAGGACCUAUGACGUCUGGUGGCAUUAAAAAGUCUGGCAAGAAAUGACCCAGGUUCUUCACGAUCCUUUAUCAUCAUCGUUCAUCGUCUGCAUGCUGUCACUUCAUCUCUCACAUAGUCUCUCAGUUUGAGCAUUUAUUCUUGUACAUGUAAUGUGUUGUACAAUAUUCAGAAUCAGCAUGUCAUCAAAUUUUUCCUUUGUUGGUUUUGAAAAGAAUAAAGACUGAUGCCUCUGCCUGCA